GUAGGUGGCAAGCGUUGUCCGGAAUUAUUGGGCGUAAAGCGCGCGCAGGCGGUUCUUUAAGUCUGAUGUGAAAGCCCACGGCUCAACCGUGGAGGGUCAUUGGAAACUGGAGAACUUGAGUACAGAAGAGGAAAGCGGAAUUCCACGUGUAGCGGUGAAAUGCGUAGAGAUGUGGAGGAACACCAGUGGCGAAGGCGGCUUUCUGGUCUGUAACUGACGCUGAGGCGCGAAAGCGUGGGGAGCAAACAGGGAUUAGAUACCCUGGUAGUCCACGCCGUAAACGAUGAGUGCAAGUGUUAGGGGGGUUUUCCGGCCCCCCUUAGUGCUGCAGCUAACGCAUUAAGCACUCCGCCUGGGGAGUACGGCCGCAAGGCUG
This 376-nucleotide ribosomal RNA is filed under the name uncultured organism. RNAcentral describes it as "partial 16S ribosomal RNA". It matches the Rfam family "Bacterial small subunit ribosomal RNA", at positions 527 to 896 of the family's 1533-position model. The record is from RNAcentral.